GGUCUGCUGAAGACCUAUUCUAUCCCGGAUCUACACUUGGGAUUCUCCAAGACACAAGAGCUUGAAGAUCGAAAGUUGUGAUUUGGCCAAAACCUCUGGACACUGAUGUACAUUUGUUAUUGACUUGACCCGGAAUGUGACUGUUUCCCCGUCCAUGUUGAUUAUUUAAUGUGUAUGACUGUUUCUGUUUGUUUAUUGUUGAACUCCUCACUGGAGUCGGUAUCAGACAAUCCGGUGAUUGACAUCAUGUACAUCGAUCUACGUAAUUUGGUACGAUGAUAUGCAUAAACUAAGUCAGCAAGCCUGACAAACCAAUCCCACUAGUCGCCUCUUACGACAAGCAUGGGUUUCUGCAGACCCAUUCUAACCCGUAUCUUCACGGGAGUAUGUAUGUUUCCAGAGCCUGCAGAUGUAUUAGUUACUGUCGUCAAAUGGAAUAUAUCAACUUCGGUUAUA
This is a long non-coding RNA of Haliotis rufescens (red abalone), 456 nucleotides long. RefSeq lists it as uncharacterized. The record is from RefSeq and is a predicted model, not a curated record. The transcript has 2 exons. NCBI's taxonomy places the organism in Eukaryota, Metazoa, Mollusca, Gastropoda, Lepetellida, Haliotidae.